Molecule: long non-coding RNA, 3562 nt
Organism: Nerophis ophidion (straightnose pipefish)
Lineage: Eukaryota; Metazoa; Chordata; Actinopteri; Syngnathiformes; Syngnathidae
Exons: 3
Source: RefSeq, a predicted model, not a curated record
CAAAAUGGCGUCAUAUCAGAGACAACAACACGGAAUACAGAUUUACACUGUAAACGACCUAAUCUUUUCUCCAAAUGUAUACAUCAGUAACUGACAUUAAAAUCACAGGGGGCGCUGGAGCCUAUCCCAGUAGCCCUCAGGCAGCAGCAAAAUUAUUGCAAUUUAGAUUUUAGGCCAUAUUGCCCACCCCUCGUAAGAAGUGGUCUUCUUUUCCUGUGAAUAAUGUUGUAAAGAGCAGUGUGUUUGUUUUCAGGCCAAUUCAUAUAAUAACUUGUUUUUUUAAAGGCCUACUGAAAUGAGAUUUUCUUAUUUAAACGGGGAUAGCAGGUCCAUUCUAUGUGUCAUACUUGAUCAUUUUGCGAUAUGGCCAUAUUUUUGCUGAAAGGAUUUAGUAGAGAACAUCGACAAUAAAGUUCGCAACUUUUGGUCGCUAAUAAAAGAGCUUUGCCUUUACCGAAAGUAGCAGACGAUGUGCACGUGACGUCACGGGUUGUAGGGCUUCUCACUUCCUCGCAUUGUUUACAAUCAUAGCCAGCAGCAGCUAGAGCUAUUGGGACCGAGAAAGCGACGAUUUCCCCAUUAAUUUGAGCGAGGAUGAAAGAUUUGUGGAUGAGGAAAGUUAGAGUGAGGCACUAAAAAAAACAAAAACAAAGAAAAAACAAGCGACGGCUCCGGGCAGCGGCAGUGGGAGCGAUUCUGAUGUUAUUAGACACAUUUACUCGGAUAAUUCUGGAAAAUCCCUUAUCUACCUAUUGUGUUGCUAGUGUUUUUGUUAUGACACAAGCUCAGUCUUCCCUGCCUUCAUCUGCGGGAGCACUCGGCGGCUCCACUCUGAGUGCGUCCACACGCGCCACACCCAGACACGCCCCCUCGCGCGCAGCGCGGACCGCUCACACACACAGCUGGAGACGAUCACCAAUCAAGACACCUGGCAUUGAUUACGGACGACAGAAUAAAGAUUCCCGCCGCUGAACCCUCGUCGUUGGAACGUUGCCAUUGCUUGCACCCCUGUCUCUAUUCCUGCUGCCAUCCUCUCUGGAACCCUGAUUUGCUCUCCUGGAUCCCUGACACAUUGCCUGGACUUUGGACGCUCUCUCCUGCCCCACGACCACGCUCGGACACCGGAUUGCUUUUGCCUUCUCCCUCUGGUUUUGGACGCCACCAUCCAACACGCACGACAACAUUCUUUACGGUAUUUCCAUAUGUUAAUUCCAGCACAUAGUUCACACUCAAACACAUAGUAGCAUACACAUCCCACGUAAUCAUUAAUUACUCAAUAAAUAUUGAGUUGGACUUCCACUGUUGUGCCGUCUCCUUCCACCCGUCUUCGCCUUAACAGUUUUAGUGAGAUUAUAUAAUACCUGAAAGUCGGAGGGGUGUGGCCACGGGUGUGUUGACCGCAGGUGUCUCUGAGGGAAGUCACGCAGCUGCAGCAGGACGCAAGCACACCUGAGUUCUCCGACGUCUGUGAAGAGCAACUUCUGCCUGAAAAACAGGAGUGUAGCUUCAGGAUGGUAAAGGAGGAUCCAUCACAGAGGAAGACCAGGUGCCACAGACCCUCUGGCGUCUCCUUUUCCUCUUUGACACAGACCCUUCCCUGUAAAAAGGAAGAGGAAGACUCACUGACCCCCCACAUUAAAGAGGAAGAGGAGGAACACAGCAUCAGUCAGGAGGGAAAUCAUCUUGAAGGACUGGUGGAGUUCCCAGUGACUGGUGUCCAUGUGAAGAGUGAAGAUGAUGAGGUCAAAGGUGAAAAUGAAGAGAAGAGAGAGGCGGAGCCUCCAAGCAGCAACUCAACACAACACAUGACAACAGAAGCUGAUGGAGACCACUGUGGAGGAUCAAAAGCAGACAAGCUCUUAGCUCCACUAUCAGAUAGUGAGGACACAACGUCACACUCUCCUGACACUGAUGAUGAAGACUCUAAAGAUGAUAAGACAUGUCACACUGACAACACUCACUUCACAUGUUCUCACUAUGACAAAACCUUUAAAUACCAUAGUCGUCUGAAAACACACAUGAGAACACACAUUGGAAAGAAACCUUUUUCUUGUUCAAUCUGUGGCUUAUCUUUUACAAGGAAGGAAAAUAUGAAAGAGCACACAAGAACACAUAAAGUAGAAAAAAUGUAUGCGUGUCAUGUGUGUGAUUCAAGGUAUAUAUGAAGUCAAGGUUUGAAAGAACACCUGAAAAGACACACUGGGGAAAACCUUUUUAACUGUUCUGUGUGUAAUUCAAGUUUUGUCCAAGGUGAUCAUUUGAAAAGACACAUGAGAACCCACACAGGAGAAAAACCUUUUACCUGUUCACUCUGUGGUAAAGGUUUUGCACAAAGUCAAAAUUUGAAAGUACACAUGAGAAGACACACUGGUGAAAAACAUUUUUCCUGUUCAACCUGUGGCUCAUCUUUUACAAGGAAGGAACAUUUGAAAGUGCACAUGAGAACACACACUGGUGAAAAACCGUUUUUCUGUUCAGUCUGUGGUAAAAGUUUUACACACUGUCAGAGUUUGAAAAAACACACAAUUUUACACACUGGUGAAAAACCUUUUAUCUGUUCAAUCUGUAGUAAAGGUUUUGUACAAAGUAACAAUUUGAAAGUACACAUGAAAACACACACUGGUGAAAAACCUUCUUCCUGUUUAGUCUGUGGUAAAGGUUUUGCACAAAGUCAGAAUUUAAAAACGCACACAAGAACACACACAGGUGAAAAAUCACAUCCAUGUUCAUUCUGCAACAUGAGCUUUUGUGAACGAUCAACCCUUAGAACACACAUGAGAAGACACCCAGGAGAGAAAGUUUUGAGUUGCAGUGUGUGUGGUGAAAUUUUUUUUUCUAAGUACCAGUGUAAGAAACACAAGUGUGCUGGUGAGAACAGCAGCAGCAAAUGAAACUGCAGGAUUUGAAAUAAACUGUCAAGACUUUAAUUUGAACUUUCUAACAACAUCAGCACAUAUAACAUGUGUGACAUUGUUGUUUGUGUAACAAUCUUUUUAACAUGCUUUUACAUUUAUGGAUUAGAUAUUUUAUAUUAGUGCUUUUUUCAAUCAAGUACAUACAUUAAUAUGCAACAUUGUGAACUUUUAUUAAAAAUUGAACAGAACUGUUUGGCUGAAAUGGUGGGAGUAAACAGUACAAGACAUAUUUUACAGAAAAUAAAUAUUUUAUGUGUAUAUUUAUAUAUUCAUCAGACAAGUUAAGACUUAUUCAUAAUACUGUUUUUAUAGGUGUUUGAAAUAUUGAAGUAUGACAUAUUUGUAUUUCUAAUUGUUAAUAAUUCCAUAGAUUAGCACCUUUAUAUGAUAUACAUAUUUACUGGUUCACAUCUGGAACAUCUUCUGGACCACUUCAGGAAGCAUAUUAUUUUUCACCUUAUACAUCAUUUGAACACUUUUGUACAAUUUUAAAAUUUGUGAUUUUAUGAAUCAUUUGUUGGUUCUCUAAUCCAUUUUAUCAAUUAUCUUUAUUACUCUCUUUUGUAUUAUGAUGAUUGUGUUGUGACUGUUUAAUAUGUAUGUCCCCAGACCUUUAUUCAAUAUAAAAGUGAGAGAAAAUGGUUGAA